CAAGCUGUUUAACAUGUCGUGCGUCAAUAUUUGCAACUUACUUCUGAAAGUUUUCCUGCUUGGCUUGAUGUCAUCGGCGAUCUGCCACGGACAGGAGGCCAUCUCCAUGGACGAACAUUUCAGGAAAAUGUUUCCGGGCGGAAAAAGAUGCACCCAAAAACACUGAAUUACCUCCGUCAUCUGGUUGUUCAUAAUUUCAAUGUUUCACAUUGCCAUGAUGUGAUCAUGCGAAUAAAGUAAACUCAUAAAAUUGGA
Diachasma alloeum is the source of this 255-nucleotide long non-coding RNA. RefSeq lists it as uncharacterized. The transcript is spliced from 2 exons. The record is from RefSeq and is a predicted model, not a curated record. Lineage: Eukaryota; Metazoa; Arthropoda; Insecta; Hymenoptera; Braconidae.